Aedes aegypti (yellow fever mosquito) is the source of this 612-nucleotide long non-coding RNA. RefSeq lists it as uncharacterized. The record is from RefSeq and is a predicted model, not a curated record. Lineage: Eukaryota; Metazoa; Arthropoda; Insecta; Diptera; Culicidae. The transcript has 2 exons.
ACAGUAUUCGGCACAGUUCAGCACAUCUGGGCACCCUUCUAAUCGACAGUUUAUUUUUCUUUCCGCUGAUUGGAUUUGACAGCUGAAACUUUGUUUUUACUAACCACAUCAAAUGGUCGUGCGGCUCAACCAGAUUGUUGUUAUCCCGAAUUUGUUUGGUAUACAUAAUCGCACCUCGUGGUAACCCGCUCAAACAUAUCCACGACGGGAACCGAAACAUCGUGAUCACCGAGAUUCCAAACGGAGGUACAUAUUUCAAAGUGGUCCUACCCAACAUCUUGUCGGAUUUGAUUGUGACCAACUACUGAAGAGGACCUGGAAGAGGAACAAGUUUCGAAAUCUCUGCCAAGGAAUGCUGGGAAUAUACCUGAUCGAAAUGGUCAAGUGGUACUCGCAUGGAAUCCAGUACAUGGCCGUAAAAGGCAAACAUCAAAAAGAUUAAAGAUAGAUCGUUGACAUCAACUCUUCGAGACUGAAGCGGGAAGGUAAAUUGAUCACCCUUGGCAGAGAUUCCGACCAAGGUAGGACAGCUGAAGAAAAUGAAGAGGAACCUGUGAAGGAUUUCAAUGAUGAAAAUAAAACUAAAAAUAAAGAUGAAUAAUUUAUAAACUA